GACCUCAAUCAGGUAGAAUACCCGCUGAACUUAAGCAUAUCAAUAAGCGGAGGA
This 54-nucleotide ribosomal RNA is filed under the name Rhizophagus intraradices. Its description in RNAcentral is "partial 28S ribosomal RNA". The record is from RNAcentral. Lineage: Eukaryota; Fungi; Glomeromycota; Glomeromycetes; Glomerales; Glomeraceae.